This 1098-nucleotide long non-coding RNA is filed under the name Lactuca sativa (garden lettuce). Its description in RNAcentral is "long non-coding RNA (LSAT_LNC006778)". The record is from RNAcentral. Lineage: Eukaryota; Viridiplantae; Streptophyta; Magnoliopsida; Asterales; Asteraceae.
GCCUGUAGUUAUAACCAGAGUCUCUUGGAGGGAGAACGGGGAUUUGUGUAUAGAUCUAUACGGGGAUGACACCCCACACCUCAGUUGUUCGCUAUAGUUAGACUAUCUCAGUCUACGGUGACGAAAAGCUUAUAGUCAAAGUGAAAACCGGCGUCCAACGAUGCCAAGACAGGUGAAAUUGUCAUUAUUUAGUAUGGUUAUAGCGGCUCGCUUAGAGGAAUUAAUGUUAUGAAGUNCCGGCGUCCAGCCAAGACAGGUGAAAUUGUCAUUAUUUAGUAUGGUUAUAGCGGCUCGCUUAGAGGAAUUAAUGUUAUGAAGUUUACGGAAUACCGUUUUCUUUUAUAGACAACAUUGGGUUGUUUGGGAACAUUCUCUUUACAUGCUCUUACAUUCUCUCUACAUUUUCUUUACCGUUUAAGUCAAAUAAACAAUAGCUUACAUGCAUUAAUACAAGAUCUAACACAAACACACUAAACAGUUUUCAGAAAAUAUCGGAUUUUCUGGUGGUUUUCAAAGUUAUACAAAUCAUUCUCACAAACAUGCUUAUGAACUCACCAACAUUUUUAUGUUGACCGUUUUUCAAAAUAACUUGUAUUCUCAGGAAAUCGUUGAAGCUGGAUGAACAAAACAAACUAAUGGAUAUUGUGUUAUAUUUUGUUUCAUCAUACUCUUACUAUUUUGGCAUGUAAUAUUCAAAUACAAUACUCGAUGUAAACUAUGAAUGUUGUAAUAUUACAUGUGUGAUGAUGAUGAUGUUAUGUUUCAAUUAUAUUCACUGUAAUGAUAUUUCAAGAUGAAGUCAUGCACAAGCCCCCGUAUGUUUCCGCCGUCUGGUUCGGGGGUGUGACACGUAUGACAUGUCCUCACCAUGAUCUACCUCUGAAAUACAACAUACGAUAAAUUAGAAACUCACUUAAGCAUACUCGCACUCGAUAACUCAUCCCUCCUUGAUCCCUGGCAUCCAAAAGAUUCUUACUUGAACUGUACACCGCCCCGGUGUUUUCAGUAUUAAGGGCCCAAUACUAUCGUCCACACCGUAUCAGUAUACAUCCCAAGUCCUCCUCUUAGGAUCCCAAGUCCCAAGUACUCUAUUAUGCA